GCCUGGCUGGCUCAGUCUGUAGAGCAUGCAACUCUUGAUCUCAGGGUUGUGAGUUCAAGCCCCACACUGGGCA
Molecule: non-coding RNA, 73 nt
Organism: Ailuropoda melanoleuca (giant panda)
Lineage: Eukaryota; Metazoa; Chordata; Mammalia; Carnivora; Ursidae
Source: Rfam